Molecule: ribosomal RNA, 301 nt
Filed under: uncultured bacterium
Lineage: Bacteria
Description: partial 16S ribosomal RNA
Rfam family: Bacterial small subunit ribosomal RNA
Source: RNAcentral
CAGUAGCCACGGUAAUACGGAGGGAGCUAGCGUUGUUCGGAAUUACUGGGCGUAAAGCGCACGUAGGCGGCUUUGUAAGUUAGAGGUGAAAGCCUGGAGCUCAACUCCAGAAUUGCCUUUAAGACUGCAUCGCUUGAAUCCGGGAGAGGUGAGUGGAAUUCCGAGUGUAGAGGUGAAAUUCGUAGAUAUUCGGAAGAACACCAGUGGCGAAGGCGGCUCACUGGACCGGCAUUGACGCUGAGGUGCGAAAGCGUGGGGAGCAAACAGGAUUAGAGACCCCAGUAGUCCCUGUCUCUUAUAA